UUUGAACGCCACGUAAUGACUACCUGGUAGGCCUGCUGGAUUAAAAGACUGCGGGCGACCUAUGCAUUUCCAGUCCUCACUCAGUUUAUUAUUUACAAGGUGAACAUGGAUCAUAUAAUGACAGUCAUUAUUAAGCUAGAUUGCUUAUCCAGUAAGAUCUCCUUGAUUUGCAUGGCCAACUGAAGACCUUAUAUACUGGAUCAAUAAGGAUGGAAAGCCAGGCCAAUAAAUACUAACAAAAGAGACGCUGAUUUGCAGAGCAGGUUGAGCUUGCUUACUUAUCCAAUAAGGUCUUCCGUUGCCUGCUUGUUCAACUGAAGGCCUUACUGGGUCAGUAAUAAGGUAAGAAUAGAAAGCCAAGUCAACAAGUUUUGACGAGAAGGAUGCUGAUUUGCAGACUGAUUGAUUACUAACUAGAUUACUUAUCCAAUAAGGUCUUCCAUUGUUAUGCAUGGUCAACUGAGGACCUUUUUGGAUCAGUAUUUUUCAUCCUUAAAAGGAUGGAAACGGUCAGGCYAAUAAAUACAAGAGAGACGCUGAUUUGCAGAGCAGGUUGAGCUUGCUUAUUACAAGUAUCCAAUAAGGUCUUCCGUUGAUAUACAUGGUCAACUGAAGACCUUACUGGAUCAGUAAUAAGGAUAGAAAAUCCGGUACCACGAGAAGAGAGAGCAGAAAGGCUAUUGUGAGUAUUUCCGGAUUACUCUUUGCGUGCGUCCUUUCUACUCAAGUUUACUAAGAGCGAUCUCAGAAGAAUAUGACUUCAUGGCRAUUCUUUUGACCCACUGGGGUUAUCUGUAGUCAUACUUCUCUCGUACACCUUUAACGGAUAUGAUUCCCUUCUAGCAGAGUCUCUCUUCUCUUUCUCUCCUUUCUUUCAGGCAGGGAGGAAGGAGACUCUGCCGAUGUAGAGUGUUUCCUUUGAUACACCGCCAUACUCCGCGAUUUACGAUUGUGGACGAACGAAACCAGUUUUAAAACCGGUUUCUAACCGGGUACAUGUAGUGCGCAUGRGCAAAUGUAACUCACCGUGGCGCUAAGCGCUGUUUGACGAGGGCGGCUGAGCUAAACGCUCAGUGUUCCCUGACUAUUAAGCCUCCCUGACUAAGCCGCCUUCCUGAAUAAACCUUCCUGACUAAGCCGCCCAGWCAAGCCGCCUGCAGACUUAAUUUAAUUCAAGCCCAUACAUACCACUUAUAGUAGUCUCGUUUUCAUUUCAAAAUUGUWAGUUAGGUUUAAUUAGUCUGCCGAAUGGCCUAUAUGACCAUUUGGGUCUAAUAAAAGUGUUUUAAAAAAUCA
Molecule: long non-coding RNA, 1296 nt
Organism: Actinia tenebrosa (Australian red waratah sea anemone)
Lineage: Eukaryota; Metazoa; Cnidaria; Anthozoa; Actiniaria; Actiniidae
Source: RefSeq, a predicted model, not a curated record